RNAcentral lists this long non-coding RNA (448 nucleotides) under Homo sapiens (human). RNAcentral's name for it is "non-protein coding lnc-CCL18-1:11". Lineage: Eukaryota; Metazoa; Chordata; Mammalia; Primates; Hominidae. The record is from RNAcentral.
AACACAUGCCUCACUCCAGCUCCAAGUCAGGUCACACCUCGGAGCCCUGCGUCCUGUAUCCCCGAUAGGCUCCUGAAGGCUGGGCCUUUCCAGGAUAGCCUUCUGGCCUGUCUCUGCCCCAACCCUGACCCUCCCUACCUCCAUAGAGGGAAUUUUGUCUGGUUCAAGAAGUCAUACCCCAACCCAAGAGAAGCCUUGGACAUCUCUCAUAAGACAUCCAAGGGACAGAGCUCCUGGGAGACCUAGAGUGAGCUGGAGAGUGAACAACAUACCCCACUGGGAAGUAAGCAGCCCUGGAUUCUGCCUCUUGCUAACUGAUUCGUUUCGAACCCUGUUUUUCUAUCUGUAAAAGGGACUGUAACUCCCCUGCCCCUGCCUAGAUUCUCAUACCUGGAGACUAGGGGGCUAAGACCCCUUCUAGAGAUAAAAAUAAAAGUCUUAAAGAGAA